CUAUUCUUUUGGUCUUGUUGGUCGCGUGGAAAAAUAGACAUAAUUUUUAAUGAACACAAAUCUCUCGGUAUUUCAAUUGCUUAGUCUCAGUUCCAAUCGAAACUAAGUAGUAUACAGUCGAGCUAUUGAUUAUCGCUAUACAACAAGUGAAAGAUAUUUUUAUCGAACGAGUCCUGGACUACUGAAUUCUAUUAUAGCUGACAUACGAACAAUCGGUCGGAUAUUACAUUUUUGAAAAGACGUGAAGAUUGAGUGAAGUCAACGAGGUAUUUCCCAAAUUCCUGAAAUUUGCAUAAGCUUUAAACUAUUAGCUCUGCGUUAUUUAAAGGGAUCGUGGCAGUAAAAAUAUAAAGUAUGGCAAAAGCUUGGGAAACUUA
Molecule: non-coding RNA, 377 nt
Organism: Drosophila virilis
Lineage: Eukaryota; Metazoa; Arthropoda; Insecta; Diptera; Drosophilidae
Source: RefSeq, a predicted model, not a curated record